This 431-nucleotide ribosomal RNA is filed under the name uncultured bacterium. RNAcentral describes it as "partial 16S ribosomal RNA". It matches the Rfam family "Bacterial small subunit ribosomal RNA", at positions 29 to 507 of the family's 1533-position model. The record is from RNAcentral.
AACGAACGCUGGCGGCAGGCUUAACACAUGCAAGUCGAACGCCCCGCAAGGGGAGUGGCCGACGGGUGAGUAACGCGUGGGAACAUACCCUUUUCUACGGAAUAGCUCUGGGAAACUGGAAUUAAUACCGUAUACGCCCUACGGGGGAAAGAUUUAUCGGGGAAGGAUUGGCCCGCGUUGGAUUAGCUAGUUGGUGGGGUAAAGGCCUACCAAGGCGACGAUCCAUAGCUGGUCUGAGAGGAUGAUCAGCCACAUUGGGACUGAGACACGGCCCAAACUCCUACGGGAGGCAGCAGGGGGGAAUAUUGGACAAUGGGCGCAAGCCUGAUCCAGCCAUGCCGCGUGAGUGAUGAAGGCCUUAGGGUUGUAAAGCUCUUUCACCGAUGAAGAUAAUGACGGUAGUCGGAGAAGAAGCCCCGGCUAACUUCGUG